CGUCCUUAGUGCGGCCGGUGGAAAAUAGCUUGAUAGUUGGUAUUCGAGUUCUUAAAAUCAAAUUUUUAUUGUCUCAUAUUUUGAACUAAAUUUAUUUUUUAGAAAUAAAAAAGUAAAAAUCUGCAAAACUUGCUUGAAUAUGGAUCAUAUCAAUUCGACCAUCCAAUAUUUUAAUUUAUUUUAUUUGAGUCAAUUAAUUGCACUUUAAAUUUAAAAUUUUAAAGAACUACUUAUCUUAAAAAAUUUAUAGUUGUGAGAGUUGUAUUAAGAAUGCUAAUUAAACUUAUAAAGAUAAAUGACGGAUUCAGAUUUUAAAAUAAAAGUGUUAUUAACCUGUUUAAAUCAAAUAAAUUAAAAUAUCAUAUAGUAAAAUCAAAAUUUUGAAAAAUUGAAUAGGCUACUCAAAAUAGUCGGUACGUAAUAUAAUUAAGUUUUAUACGUUUUCACCGUAAAAGGAAAAUGAACAAAAAGCGGCUAAUA
RNAcentral lists this long non-coding RNA (480 nucleotides) under Ananas comosus (pineapple). RNAcentral's name for it is "long non-coding RNA (ACOM_LNC029556)". Lineage: Eukaryota; Viridiplantae; Streptophyta; Magnoliopsida; Poales; Bromeliaceae. The record is from RNAcentral.